GACGAACGCUGGCGGCGUGCUUAACACAUGCAAGUCGAACGGAAAGGCCCUGCUUUUGUUGGGUGCUCGAGUGGCGAGCGGGUGAGUAACACGUGAGUAACCUUCCCUUGCCUUUUGGAUAACUUCAGGAAACUGGGGUUACUACCGGAUCGGAGCUCCUGCUGCAUGGCGGGUGUUGGAUAUUUUCGGCGGUUGGGGAUGGACUCGCGGCUUAUCAGCUUGUUGGUGGGGUAGUGGCUUACCACGGCUUUGACGGGUAGCCGGCCUGAGGGGGUCACCGGCAACGUGGGGACUGAGAUACGGCCCAGACUGCUAGGGGAGGCAGCAGUGGGGAAUAUGGCACAAGGGGCGGAAGCCUGAUGCAGGAGCGCCGCGUGCGGGAUGACGGCCUUCGGGUUGUAAACCGCUGUCGCAUGUGCCGAAGCGUGAGUGACGGUAAUGAGUAAAGAAGCACCGGCUAACUACGUG
RNAcentral lists this ribosomal RNA (468 nucleotides) under uncultured bacterium. Its description in RNAcentral is "partial 16S ribosomal RNA". It matches the Rfam family "Bacterial small subunit ribosomal RNA", at positions 28 to 507 of the family's 1533-position model. The record is from RNAcentral.